GUCUAUGGCCAUGCUACCCUGAACAAGCCCGAUCCCAUCCGAUCUUGGAAGCUAAGAGGGUCAGGCCUGGUUAGUACAUGGAUGGGAGACCACCUAGGAAGACCAGGUGUUGUAGGCA
Molecule: ribosomal RNA, 118 nt
Filed under: Pteropus alecto (black flying fox)
Lineage: Eukaryota; Metazoa; Chordata; Mammalia; Chiroptera; Pteropodidae
Source: RNAcentral